UCCGCGCGCGCGCCCCGGCUGGCGACGUGCGGGGCUGAACGGGCCGGGCGAGCCGCCCCGAGCCUCGUGCUCCCGCGGGCUCCGGGGUCGCUGGGGCUUCGUUGCCAGGGUGGGGGUCCCUGCGGGGUUCCGCCCGCUCCCUCAUCUCCCCGGCGCUUUCUCGCUGCGUGCGGCGCGGCCUGCGUCUCAGCCGGAGACCAGGGACAGAUGGUCUGGAGCCAAUCCACAGUAUCUCCGAGGAGGCAUGCAUGUAUUUUUAUCUCUAGAUGAUGGGAUAAUAGGUGCAGGUGGUUUGCGUGUGGCCCAAUUGGUUCUGAUCUGACGACCACCCAACCACUGACCUCCCAUAUGCACAAUUGCAU
Molecule: long non-coding RNA, 362 nt
Organism: Eptesicus fuscus (big brown bat)
Lineage: Eukaryota; Metazoa; Chordata; Mammalia; Chiroptera; Vespertilionidae
Exons: 3
Source: RefSeq, a predicted model, not a curated record